Molecule: ribosomal RNA, 1411 nt
Filed under: Menegazzia kawesqarica
Lineage: Eukaryota; Fungi; Ascomycota; Lecanoromycetes; Lecanorales; Parmeliaceae
Description: partial 28S ribosomal RNA
Rfam family: Eukaryotic large subunit ribosomal RNA
Source: RNAcentral
GUUUGGGAAUGCAGCUCAAAAUGGGUGGUAAAUUUCAUCUAAAGCUAAAUACUGGCUGGAGACCGAUAGCGCACAAGUAGAGUGAUCGAAAGAUGAAAAGCACUUUGGAAAGAGAGUCAAACAGUACGUGAAAUUGUUGAAAGGGAAGCGCUGGCAACCAGACCUGUCCGUAGGCGAUCAGUCGCUGUUCUCAGCGGUGCACUCGCUCUGCGAUCAGGCCAGCAUCGGUUUAGGCGGCUGGAUAAAGGCUCCGGAAAUGUAGCUCCUCUCGGGGAGUGUUAUAGACCGCGGUGCAAUGCAGCCAGCCUGGACCGAGGACCGCGCUUCGGCUAGGAUGCUGGCGUAAUGGUUGUCAGCGACCCGUCUUGAAACACGGACCAAGGAGUCUAACAUCUAUGCGAGUGUUUGGGUGUUAAACCCAUGCGCGGAAUGAAAGUGAACGGAGGUGAGAACCCUUAAGGGCGCAUCAUCGACCGAUCCAGAUGUCUUCGGAUGGAUUUGAGUAUGAGCAUAGCUGUUGGGACCCGAAAGGUGACAUGAACCAACCCCUAUUAAUAACAAGAGCCUAUGCUAACAUUUUUGAAAGAUGGUGAACUAUGCCUGAAUAGGGUGAAGCCAGAGGAAACUCUGGUGGAGGCUCGCAGCGGUUCUGACGUGCAAAUCGAUCGUCAAAUUUGGGUAUAGGGGUAAGCAUCCCCUGUGGAAAUGAACAUUUAGAAAGGCAACACUGACAUGCGUUGCAGGCGAAAGACUAAUCGAACCAUCUACAGGUGGUUAAUAAAAGUAUAUCGUUCCCCGAAUACUUUCAGUCCCUCGGGGCGACAUCACUACUUGCAUGAACAAACCUUCGGGUUGACAUGCUGCAGUUCUUCUCACUUAUGUGGGUCCUGUUCACAGACCAAAUAGUGGUGGCCGGGUUAUCCUUUUAGGGAUGCUUGGUUUAGAAAUGGCCGAGUCCUACUCGUAAUUGAGUCGGUCCUGGGACGGUGGACAUAUUUUUGAUCCCCCCGUUGCGGGACCUUUAAGUAACGACGCUAGUAGCUGGUUCCUGCCGAAGUUUCCCUCAGGAUAGCAGUAACGUUUUCAGUUUUAUGAGGUAAAGCGAAUGAUUAGAGGCCUUGGGGUUGAAACAACCUUAACCUAUUCUCAAACUUUAAAUAUGUAAGAAGUCCUUGUUACUUAGUUGAACGUGGACAUUUGAAUGCACCGUUACUAGUGGGCCAUUUUUGGUAAGCAGAACUGGCGAUGCGGGAUGAACCGAACGCGAGGUUAAGGUGCCGGAAUGCACGCUCAUCAGACACCACAAAAAGUGUUGUUUCAUCUAGACAGCCGGACGGUGGCCAUGGAAGUCGGAAACCGCUAAGGAGUGUGUAACAACUCACCGGCCGAAUGAACCAGCCUUGAAAAUGGA